UACCAGCACUCCGAGUGGUCGGGACGAUUAUUGGGCCUAAAGCAUCCGUAGCCGGUUCUACAAGUCUUCCGUUAAAUCCACCUGCUUAACAGAUGGGCUGCGGAGGAUACUAUGGAGCUAGGAGGCGGGAGAGGCAAGCGGUACUUAGUGGGUAGGGGUAAAAUCCGUUGAUCCAUUGAAGACCACCAGUGGCGAAGGCGGCUUGCCAGAACGCACUCGACGGUGAGGGAUGAAAGCUGGGGGAGCAAACCGG
This 253-nucleotide ribosomal RNA is filed under the name uncultured bacterium. RNAcentral's name for it is "partial 16S ribosomal RNA". It matches the Rfam family "Archaeal small subunit ribosomal RNA", at positions 474 to 727 of the family's 1478-position model. The record is from RNAcentral.